GAUGAACGCUGGCGGCGUGCCUAAUACAUGCAAGUCGAGCGAACAGACGAGGAGCUUGCUCCUCUGACGUUAGCGGCGGACGGGUGAGUAACACGUGGAUAACCUACCUAUAAGACUGGGAUAACUUCGGGAAACCGGAGCUAAUACCGGAUAAUAUAUUGAACCGCAUGGUUCAAUAGUGAAAGACGGUUUUGCUGUCACUUAUAGAUGGAUCCGCGCCGCAUUAGCUAGUUGGUAAGGUAACGGCUUACCAAGGCAACGCUGCGUAGCCGACCUGAGAGGGUGAUCGGCCACACUGGAACUGAGACACGGUCCAGACUCCUACGGGAGGCAGCAGUAGGGAAUCUUCCGCAAUGGGCGAAAGCCUGACGGAGCAACGCCGCGUGAGUGAUGAAGGUCUUCGGAUCGUAAAACUCUGUUAUUAGGGAAGAACAAAUGUGUAAGUAACUAUGCACGUCUUGACGGUACCUAAUCAGAAAGCCACGGCUAGCUACGUG
This 497-nucleotide ribosomal RNA is filed under the name uncultured bacterium. Its description in RNAcentral is "partial 16S ribosomal RNA". It matches the Rfam family "Bacterial small subunit ribosomal RNA", at positions 28 to 507 of the family's 1533-position model. The record is from RNAcentral.